CUCGAGGCCAGAUCUUUCCGGUUGAUCCUGCCGGAUCUGACUGCUAUCGGAUUGAUACUAAGCCAUGCGAGUCUUUGUAGCAAUACAAGGCAGACGGCUCAGUAACACGUAGUCAAUCUACCCUAUGGAUGGGGAUAACCUCGGGAAACUGAGAAUAAUACCCGAUAGAUCAUUGUGCCUGGAAUGGUUUAUGGUCGAAAUGAUUUAUCGCCGUAGGAUGGGACUGCGGUCUAUCAGCUUGUUGGUGAGGUAAUGGCCCACCAAGGCUAUAACAGAUACGGGCUCUGAGAGGAGAAGCCCGGAGAUGGGUACUGAGACACGGACCCAGGCCCUAUGGGGCGCAGCAGGCGAGAAAACUUUGCAAUGUGCGAAAGCACGACAAGGUUAAUCCGAGUGUUUUCUGCUAAAGAAAUCUUUUGUCAGUCCUAAAAACACUGAUGAAUAAGGGGUGGGCAAGUUCUGGUGUCAGCCGCCGCGGUAAAACCAGCACCUCAAGUGGUCAGGAGGAUUAUUGGGCCUAAAGCAUCCGUAGCCGGCCGUGUAAGUUUUCGGUUAAA
RNAcentral lists this ribosomal RNA (557 nucleotides) under uncultured archaeon. Its description in RNAcentral is "bacterial SSU rRNA". It matches the Rfam family "Archaeal small subunit ribosomal RNA", at positions 1 to 549 of the family's 1478-position model. The record is from RNAcentral.